This 492-nucleotide ribosomal RNA is filed under the name uncultured bacterium. RNAcentral describes it as "partial 16S ribosomal RNA". It matches the Rfam family "Bacterial small subunit ribosomal RNA", at positions 29 to 507 of the family's 1533-position model. The record is from RNAcentral.
AGUGAACGCUGGCGGUAGGCCUAACACAUGCAAGUCGAACGGCAGCACAGUAAGAGCUUGCUCUUACGGGUGGCGAGUGGCGGACGGGUGAGGAAUACAUCGGAAUCUACUUUUUCGUGGGGGAUAACGUAGGGAAACUUACGCUAAUACCGCAUACGACCUACGGGUGAAAGCAGGGGAUCUUCGGACCUUGCGCGAUUGAAUGAGCCGAUGUCGGAUUAGCUAGUUGGCGGGGUAAAGGCCCACCAAGGCGACGAUCCGUAGCUGGUCUGAGAGGAUGAUCAGCCACACUGGAACUGAGACACGGUCCAGACUCCUACGGGAGGCAGCAGUGGGGAAUAUUGGACAAUGGGCGCAAGCCUGAUCCAGCCAUGCCGCGUGGGUGAAGAAGGCCUUCGGGUUGUAAAGCCCUUUUGUUGGGAAAGAAAAGCAGCAGGUUAAUACCCCGCUGUUCUGACAGUACCCAAAGAAUAAGCACCGGCUAACUUCGUG